AUUGAACGCUGGCGGCAGGCCUAACACAUGCAAGUCGAGCGGAUGAAGGGAGCUUGCUCCUGGAUUCAGCGGCGGACGGGUGAGUAAUGCCUAGGAAUCUGCCUGGUAGUGGGGGAUAACGUCCGGAAACGGGCGCUAAUACCGCAUACGUCCUGAGGGAGAAAGUGGGGGAUCUUCGGACCUCAUGCUAUCAGAUGAGCCUAGGUCGGAUUAACUAGUUGGUGGGGUAAAGGCCUACCAAGGCGACGAUCCGUAACUGGUCUGAGAGGAUGAUCAGUCACACUGGAACUGAGACACGGUCCAGACUCCUACGGGAGGCAGCAGUGGGGAAUAUUGGACAAUGGGCGAAAGCCUGAUCCAGCCAUGCCGCGUGUGUGAAGAAGGUCUUCGGAUUGUAAAGCACUUUAAGUUGGGAGGAAGGGCAGUAAGUUAAUACCUUGCUGUUUUGACGUUACCAACAGAAUAAGCACCGGCUAACUUCGUG
This 484-nucleotide ribosomal RNA is filed under the name uncultured bacterium. RNAcentral's name for it is "partial 16S ribosomal RNA". It matches the Rfam family "Bacterial small subunit ribosomal RNA", at positions 30 to 507 of the family's 1533-position model. The record is from RNAcentral.